This 490-nucleotide ribosomal RNA is filed under the name Saccharomyces cerevisiae (brewer's yeast). RNAcentral's name for it is "eukaryotic LSU rRNA". It matches the Rfam family "Eukaryotic large subunit ribosomal RNA", at positions 50 to 542 of the family's 3401-position model. Lineage: Eukaryota; Fungi; Ascomycota; Saccharomycetes; Saccharomycetales; Saccharomycetaceae. The record is from RNAcentral.
GCGGAGGAAAAGAAACCAACCGGGAUUGCCUUAGUAACGGCGAGUGAAGCGGCAAAAGCUCAAAUUUGAAAUCUGGUACCUUCGGUGCCCGAGUUGUAAUUUGGAGAGGGCAACUUUGGGGCCGUUCCUUGUCUAUGUUCCUUGGAACAGGACGUCAUAGAGGGUGAGAAUCCCGUGUGGCGAGGAGUGCGGUUCUUUGUAAAGUGCCUUCGAAGAGUCGAGUUGUUUGGGAAUGCAGCUCUAAGUGGGUGGUAAAUUCCAUCUAAAGCUAAAUAUUGGCGAGAGACCGAUAGCGAACAAGUACAGUGAUGGAAAGAUGAAAAGAACUUUGAAAAGAGAGUGAAAAAGUACGUGAAAUUGUUGAAAGGGAAGGGCAUUUGAUCAGACAUGGUGUUUUGUGCCCUCUGCUCCUUGUGGGUAGGGGAAUCUCGCAUUUCACUGGGCCAGCAUCAGUUUUGGUGGCAGGAUAAAUCCAUAGGAAUGUAGCUUG